Leptopilina boulardi is the source of this 1802-nucleotide long non-coding RNA. RefSeq lists it as uncharacterized. NCBI's taxonomy places the organism in Eukaryota, Metazoa, Arthropoda, Insecta, Hymenoptera, Figitidae. The record is from RefSeq and is a predicted model, not a curated record. The transcript is spliced from 4 exons.
UCGAGAUAACGAUCUACUUAAAUAUUUUUGUUACUCAAGAAAGAUCCUUUAAAAGAAUUCCUCUCACUUUAUACAGUGAUCUCUUUUUUUUUUUUUUUGGCAAAAAGAUUCACAGGAAAUAUGAAAUCGAAUUAUUUAUUACACUGAAAGAAUUUUCUUAAUAAAUUGUUUUGUCAAAUAUUAAAAAGAAAAACGUCAAAAGCAGAACUUCUUUUUUCUACACUUCAAACUAAUCCAAAUAAGCUUUUCUUUAAAGAGUAAAGUAGCUCCAUCUAGCGUAGUUACAUUAAAGUUUUACAAUCACGAAUAUAGUUUGCAGAUAGUUUGACGAAGAUGACUUCCAGUGGCUACAUAUUUGUGUUUUAAUAUCAUUUUAAAUUAUAUUUUAAUGUUUCUAAUCUUUAAAAUUAUUUGAUCUGAUCUUGAUAUUUGAUUAAGGAAGUAAAUGGAGAAUAUAAAUUAUAUGUGAGUGUCAUAAACGAAUCAAACAUCGGACGACAUAACCUCAAAAUAUUUAAAGGUUUUUUAAAUUUUUUUUAAAAUUAUUAAUUGCUUACCGCAAUUUGUUUCGUCGGAAUAAUCCCAGCAAUCGGGAACACCGUCGCAGAUUUUUUGAUGAAAGAGCUGUGCCUUAAGGAAAUCUGCACAGGUGCAAUUAGCCUCAUCUUCGGAAUUUGUACAUUCACUUAACAUAUUGCAUCGAGCACCAAAUGGCAAACAUUUUCCAUCGCUACACCGGAAACCAGUACAUUUUUCUGCUGUUCAUGUCGGGAGUAAUCCAAUAUGCAGCAAUCGUUCUAAUCUGGGAUUCAGCGAUCGACUGAAGGACAGGAAGGAGGUUGCAGAGAAAGCAUGGCCCCUGCAUAGUUCUCCGAUCUCCCCACAUAGAAGAGGGGCCACUGGGAGACUGGUCCAAAAGAGGCGAUGCUGCCAUCGCUCCGUCAAGGAAAUCCGCGAUUGGCAAGUGAAAUAUUUUUUUACGAACAUAGUGACACAACCUGAAAUUAAUUUUAAGAAAAAAGGGAUUGAAAAUUUAAAAAAAGAGAAUUUUUUUAACAUUGAAAAGUACAUGAAAAGUCCUUCAAAAACUAUAUUAAAAAAUUAAAAAUUCAUAAAAAACAAUUUCUUACUACUAUCUAACUAAUAUUUUAAGGAUUUUUUUUUACUUUGCGAACAAUAAUUUACCAAAGUAUCAAGUCAAUAUAUAACAACUUUUAAUGUUUGAGAAAUAAUUCCCCGUAUACAAUCUCAUAAAGCGCGCUACAGUUCUUGACAUCGAAAAAUCAGAGUCGAGGUCAACCGCCUGUGCGCAUCGUAAAAACGUAAAAUCCAUAUAAUAAAAAAUAAAAAUGCCACACAAUUACAAUUAAUGCUCUAGAAAACUUUUUAAUUAUUCUAUAUAUUAUAUUAUUUAAAGUAAUUUAUUUUUUUAGUCUCCUGGAUGUAAUAAGUUAGAAUUUUCAUUUAACUGUUUACUUCUAUUAUAUGAGAAAUCUGACAAAUGAAAAUUCAAUUAAAUUUUAGUAUUCUUUUUAAUGAAAAUUAUAUUAAUUGAAAAUUUAGAGGACUAAAAGUCAGGCUACACCGAGAGCCAACCAGAAGCAUUAAAUGUGAUGCUCAGGCGUAUUGAACGAGUAAAUUAAUCUAAUAAAUAAUCUAAUAAUAAUCUAAUAAUCUACUUGUUUAAUACGCCAGAGCAUCAAAUUUAAUGCUUAAUGGAGCUGAUAUUUGAUAAUAGUUUUAAUUAAUAAUUUUAGUUUUAAUUGUUAAAAACUUAUGUAUUUAAAUUUAAUAAGAUUCAU